UUACCGGCUAAAAUUUCAAUCUCAAUUAGGUACCAGACCAACUCACAAAGGGAAGGGACUUACGGGCUUGUGCUACAGGGCGAGUUCUUGCUCCCACUCAGACUGAGCGAGAAGCUGCAUUCCCACAGAAGAAGCAGAGUGGUGCAGGCAAAGGCAGUUGGUGGUAAAUUCUGCUAGAAAUUAAAUUUCAAACCGAUGUUUAAAAUAGAUCACCAAUCUACAAAUCUGAUUUAAAAGCCUGAGUUGGAAAGAUGCAGGAGUCCUCAUUCCUGGAAUUUGCUGGGAUUUGUCAGUAACUUGGGUAGUAUAGAAAUGACCUUCUUCUGGUCACUGGACAAGGUCCAUCAGCCAUUUGCUGCCUGUGCUUUGCCCAUGGAUUCCCAGCAAAAUCAAUGAGUGGGCAGGGGAUCUCUGAACCCUGGUUGACGCAGGAUCAGAGAGCUCAUCACUUAAAGCAGAAGGCAAGAAGAUGACAGCCUACAGUCAGACUGAGAGGAAGUCACAUCAGGGCGAUUGUUACAUGGAACUUGGAACACCGUUAUAAUCCUACCAGGGGAAAACAGAGUUGAAGUGAGGGGAAUGAUUUUUUC
Molecule: RNA transcript, 590 nt
Organism: Mobula hypostoma (lesser devil ray)
Lineage: Eukaryota; Metazoa; Chordata; Chondrichthyes; Myliobatiformes; Myliobatidae
Gene name: zinc finger BED domain-containing protein 5-like
Exons: 2
Source: RefSeq, a predicted model, not a curated record